GACGAACGCUGGCGGCGUGCCUAAUACAUGCAAGUAGAACGCUGACGGAGGAGCUUGCUUCUCUGGAUGAGUUGCGAACGGGUGAGUAACGCGUAGGUAACCUGCCUGGUAGCGGGGGAUAACUAUUGGAAACGAUAGCUAAUACCGCAUAAGAGUAGAUGUUGCAUGACAUUUGCUUCAAAGGUGCAAUUGCAUCACUACCAGAUGGACCUGCGUUGUAUUAGCUAGUUGGUGAGGUAACGGCUCACCCAGGCAACGAUACAUAGCCGACCUGAGAGGGGGAGCGGCCACACUGGGACUGGGACACGGCCCAGACCCCUACGGGAGGCAGCAGUAGGGAAGCGUCGGAAAUGUACGGAAGUCUGACCGUGCAACGCCGCGGGAGUGAAGAAGGUUUUCGGAUCGUAAAGCUCAGUUGUAAGAGAAGAACGAGUGUGAUAGUGGAAAGGUCACACUGUGACGGUAUCUUACCAGAAAGGGACGGCUAACUACGUG
RNAcentral lists this ribosomal RNA (495 nucleotides) under uncultured bacterium. RNAcentral's name for it is "partial 16S ribosomal RNA". It matches the Rfam family "Bacterial small subunit ribosomal RNA", at positions 28 to 507 of the family's 1533-position model. The record is from RNAcentral.